AGAGUUUGAUCCUGGCUCAGGACGAACGCUGGCGGCGUGCUUAACACAUGCAAGUCGAACGGUCCUGUUUUUGAAGCGUUUCGGCGUGGAGGGAGCGGGGCAGUGGCGCACGGGUGAGUAAAGCGCGAGGACCUGCCCGCCGGAGGGGGACAGCAGUUGGAAACGGCUGGUGAUACCCCGUAAGCCGGGAGGUGAAAGGGCGUAUACGCCCGCCUGCGGAUGGACUCGCGUCCUAUCAGCUAGUUGGUGAGGCAACGGCUCACCAAGGCGACGACGGGUAGCCGGCCUGAGAGGGUGUCCGGCCACACUGGAACUGAGACACGGUCCAGACUCCUACGGGAGGCAGCAGUGGGGAAUUUUGGGCAAUGGGGGAGACCCUGGCCCAGCGACGCCGCGUGAGGGAUGAAGGCCCUUGGGUCGUAAACCUCUUUUGCAGGGGAAGAAGCAGAUGACGGUACCUUGCGAAUAAGUCCCGGCUAACUACGUGCCAGCAGCCGCGGUAACACGUAGGGGACGAGCGUUGUCCGGAAUUACUGGGCGUAAAGGGCGCGCAGGCUGUGCGUCGAGUCGGCUGUUGAAAGGCGGGGCUCAACCCCGCGAAGCGGUCGAGACCGGCGUGCUGGAGAGCUGCAGAGGCAGGCGGAAUUCCCGGUGUAGCGGUGAAAUGCGUAGAUAUCGGGAAGAACACCGGUGGCGAAGGCGGCCUGCUGGGCAGUUACUGACGCUGAGGCGCGAGAGCCAGGGUAGCGAACGGGAUUAGAUACCCCGGUAGUCCUGGCCGUAGACGAUGGAUGCCAGGUGUGCGUGCAGAGAUGCACACGUGCCGCAGUCAACGCGAUAAGCAUCCCGCCUGGGGAGUAUGGUCGCAAGAUUGAAACUCAAAGGAAUUGACGG
RNAcentral lists this ribosomal RNA (894 nucleotides) under uncultured bacterium. Its description in RNAcentral is "bacterial SSU rRNA". It matches the Rfam family "Bacterial small subunit ribosomal RNA", at positions 8 to 916 of the family's 1533-position model. The record is from RNAcentral.